Molecule: ribosomal RNA, 253 nt
Filed under: uncultured bacterium
Lineage: Bacteria
Description: partial 16S ribosomal RNA
Rfam family: Bacterial small subunit ribosomal RNA
Source: RNAcentral
UACGAGUGCCUCAAGCGUUAUCCGGAAUCAUUGGGCGUAAAGGUUGUGUAGGUGGUCAUACUAGUCUCUUGUUAAAUUCUUCGGCUUAACCGGGGGCAUGCAAGGGAAACGGUAUGACUAGAGGAUGCGAGGGGUCUGCGGAACUCAUAGUGUAGCGGUGAAAUGCUUAGAUAUGACAUAGAAUACCAAUUGCGAAGGCAGCUGGCUACGCGAAUAUUGACACUCAGGCACGAAAGCGUGGGGAUCAAACAGG